This is a long non-coding RNA of Psammomys obesus (fat sand rat), 469 nucleotides long. RefSeq lists it as uncharacterized. The transcript has 3 exons. NCBI's taxonomy places the organism in Eukaryota, Metazoa, Chordata, Mammalia, Rodentia, Muridae. The record is from RefSeq and is a predicted model, not a curated record.
CUGACACACCAUCGGAGUAGGCGAUGUACUUCCAGCGGUCAGUUCGGAGCAUGUUUCUUCAGUAGGAACUGGAAACUGCAAUACAUGUGAACAGGGAGAACUCUUCCACAGUCAUGUUAUGGAAGCAGAGGCCUGUCUGAGAUGACUUUGAGCCUGAAUGUCAGGACACCCAGUGAUUGCAGCCACCAGAGGAAAUGGAUAUGAGGAUACUUUACAUGCUGAUUGGACAUCUGUUGAUUUUUCUGAGUGAGAAGAAUACAGAGAAUGUACAUAGACCUGUUUACCAUCUGACUUGACACUAAAAAGUAGACCAUUUUGGAACUACAGAUUGAUUGACCUAUGGGUCUUUUACAGGAACAGCAAGUACUCUUAACUAUUAAGCUAUCUCUCCAGCAUCUAGAAUGCAUUUGAAACAUGUUUAAAAUGAUACUGUGAAACAAACAUGAGUGCUAAGUUCUUUUCAGAGCAC